Molecule: ribosomal RNA, 1015 nt
Filed under: uncultured marine bacterium
Lineage: Bacteria
Description: bacterial SSU rRNA
Rfam family: Bacterial small subunit ribosomal RNA
Source: RNAcentral
GCUUUUCAGUAGUUUACUACAGAAAAUGACUGAGCGGCGAACGGGUGAGUAACGCGUGAGCAAUCUACCUUAGUUACUGGGAUAGCCCGAGGAAACUCGGAUUAAUACCGGAUAUUCUUAUUUUUUCACAUGAAGUUUUAAGGAAAGGUCAGCCGAACUAAGAUGAGCUCGCGUUCUAUCAGCUAGUUGGUGGGGUAAAAGCCUACCAAGGCUACGACGGAUAGCUGGUCUGAGAGGACGAUCAGCCACACUGGGACUGAGACACGGCCCAGACUCCUACGGGAGGCUGCAGCAGGGAAUAUUGCGCAAUGAGCGAAAGCUUGACGCAGCGACACCGCGUGUGGGAUGACGGUUCUAGGAUUGUAAACCACUUUCAGGAGGGAAGAAAAUGACGGUACCUCCACAAGAAGACCCGGCCAACUACGUGCCAGCAGCCGCGGUAAUACGUAGGGGUCAAGCGUUGUCCGGAUUUAUUGGGCGUAAAGAGCUCGUAGGCGGUUCAACAAGUCGGUCGUAAAAGUUUAGGGCUCAACCCUAAAAUGUCGAUCGAUACUGUUGUGACUAGGAUACGGUAGAGGUGAAUGGAAUUCCGAGUGUAGCGGUGAAAUGCGUAGAUAUUCGGAGGAACACCAAUUGCGAAGGCAGUUCACUGGACCGUGAUCGACGCUGAGGAGCGAAAGCUAGGGGAGCAAACAGGAUUAGAUACCCUGGUAGUCCUAGCUGUAAACGAUGGAUACUAGAUGUAGGAACUGGAUUGACGGUUUCUGUAUCGUAGCUAACGCGUUAAGUAUCCCGCCUGGGGAGUACGGUCGCAAGACUAAAACUCAAAGGAAUUGACGGGACCCCGCACAAGCGGCGGAGCAUGCGGCUUAAUUCGAUGAUACCCGUAGAACCUUACCUGGACUUGACAUAUAGGGAAAAGCUAAAGAAAUUUAGUGUGCGUAAGCGCCCUAUACAGGUGGUGCAUGGCUGUCGUCAGCUCGUGUCGUGAGAUGUUGGGUUAAGUCCCGCAACG